GGUUUUAGAGUUUGGAUCUGGCUCAGGAUGAACGCUGGCGGCGUGCCUAAUACAUGCAAGUCGAGCGAACGGACGAGAAGCUUGCUUCUCUGAUGUUAGCGGCGGACGGGUGAGUAACACGUGGAUAACCUACCUAUAAGACUGGGAUAACUUCGGGAAACCGGAGCUAAUACCGGAUAAUAUUUUGAACCGCAUGGUUCAAAAGUGAAAGACGGUCUUGCUGUCACUUAUAGAUGGAUCCGCGCUGCAUUAGCUAGUUGGUAAGGUAACGGCUUACCAAGGCAACGAUGCAUAGCCGACCUGAGAGGGUGAUCGGCCACACUGGAACUGAGACACGGUCCAGACUCCUACGGGAGGCAGCAGUAGGGAAUCUUCCGCAAUGGGCGAAAGCCUGACGGAGCAACGCCGCGUGAGUGAUGAAGGUCUUCGGAUCGUAAAACUCUGUUAUUAGGGAAGAACAUAUGUGUAAGUAACUGUGCACAUCUUGACGGUACCUAAUCAGAAAGCCACGGCUAACUACGUGCCAGCAGCCGCGGUAAUACGUAGGUGGCAAGCGUUAUCCGGAAUUAUUGGGCGUAAAGCGCGCGUAGGCGGUUUUUUAAGUCUGAUGUGAAAGCCCACGGCUCAACCGUGGAGGGUCAUUGGAAACUGGAAAACUUGAGUGCAGAAGAGGAAAGUGGAAUUCCAUGUGUAGCGGUGAAAUGCGCAGAGAUAUGGAGGAACACCAGUGGCGAAGGCGACUUUCUGGUCUGUAACUGACGCUGAUGCGAAAGAUCAA
This 778-nucleotide ribosomal RNA is filed under the name Staphylococcus aureus. RNAcentral describes it as "bacterial SSU rRNA". It matches the Rfam family "Bacterial small subunit ribosomal RNA", at positions 1 to 762 of the family's 1533-position model. The record is from RNAcentral. Lineage: Bacteria; Bacillati; Bacillota; Bacilli; Caryophanales; Staphylococcaceae.